AAAAUGUUAAAAUUGCACCUCAAAGGAUAGUGGAUGAAGAUUUCAAUUAAUUACGGAAGUAAAAAAGAAAGCAAAGGACAUCUUGUGGAUGAGCAAGGAACUGCAGUGCAUUUUGAAUGAAUCGGCUGCUGCUGUGAGAAAAGCUACAGGAAAUGUCAGUAAACUUCGACCAUCUCAUGGAUUGCUGACUAUCUCACAAAGAGGGUGCAGUAUGCUGAACAGAGCUCUGUGUGAUUUGGUUGAUGUGCAGUACAGUAGCUCCACAGGAAUCUGUGCUCUCUCCAUUCCCGUUCUCCUGGUACACCUCAGACUUCCCUUAUACCUCCUGGUCAUGCUACCUACAGUAAUACUCUGAUGAUUCUGCGGUGGUUGGAUGUAUUAGUGAUGGAGAGGAGGACUAAACUGUUUGUGGGGUGGUCUGUGAGGAAUCAUCUGUAAAGCAGUGACACCACCUGGAUGGUGAUGGACUUCAGAAGGAAGAGGUUGGCUGAACAAUCCAUUCCCCUCUCUGUUUAUCGUUUACGGGACAGGAUCUGGAUAUGGUGGAGGAGUACAACUGGAAGACCAGCACAGGCUCUGCUUCCUGCAAAAGCUGAGCUCCUUCAAUGUGCAACAGAGUGAUGGAGGUUUUCUAUCACUCAGCAUCCUUUGCUGUGGUCUGCUCAGGGAGCAGCAUCAAAGCUGGUGACACCAACAGUCUGAAUAAACUGAUUAGGAAGGCUGGCCCUCUGACUGGCUGCAAACUGGACACUUUUAUAGCUGUGAUGAAGACGAGGCAUCUGAAAAACCAUCAUCCAUCAUGGAUAAUCCUGAGAAACCUCUGCAUGACUUACUGGACAGGCAGCAGAGCUCCUUCUCUAACAGACUGAUUCAGCUCUGCUGUCACAAAGAAACACACGGGAAAUCUUUCAUACCGCACAUUAUCAUCCUCCAUAACACAAUAUAUCUGUCUGACAAAGAACCAUCUGCCAGAUUUUUUUCAACAGGUUAUUUGGUAAAUUCAAAAGAAUUUCCCAAAUAUGCCUCCUCUCACAAGCCUCCUCUCCAUCACAACUAUAAAAGUGUCCAAUUCAAAAGAUAUGGGAUAAACAAAGCAUUUCUCAUCUCAUCAUCAGUGGAAUAGUGAAAAUUUGGAAUACUCAAAAAAUGCUCAGACAGGCAAACGCUGUAGGCUUUGUUAGGAGGGAAAAUGGUUACUUACUGACUGAAAUGUUCAGUCCGAGUGUAUUUCCUGUACUCUUAGCAGCUGUCUCGGCCAAUGCGUGCAACAACUUGGAAGCCAAACUGAAAGGGACAAAUAAAGACUGCGGUGUCACA
Long non-coding RNA from Maylandia zebra (zebra mbuna), 1317 nucleotides. RefSeq lists it as uncharacterized. The record is from RefSeq and is a predicted model, not a curated record. NCBI's taxonomy places the organism in Eukaryota, Metazoa, Chordata, Actinopteri, Cichliformes, Cichlidae.